Molecule: unclassified non-coding RNA, 836 nt
Filed under: Hevea brasiliensis (rubber tree)
Lineage: Eukaryota; Viridiplantae; Streptophyta; Magnoliopsida; Malpighiales; Euphorbiaceae
Source: RNAcentral
AAAAAAAAAAAAAAAAAACACCUUAAUUGAGAAUCAAGAUAAGACCUUGAAAUUCAACAAAUUGUGGAGCAGUGCACCAGUAAGGAACAUGUCUUGAAUCUAUCAUAAUGGAUAGGCAAUUGAAGCAACUUAGAAGUUUGAAGCGUUAUUUCAGAAGAACAAAUGGAAGAAAGCAGAAGUUGUUUACCUUUACUGUUGCUACAGCUUCCACAGCGCCUGAAGCUCCCAGUAGGUGGCCAAUCAUGGAUUUUGUAGAGUUCACUCUUAGCUGCAAAAAUUGUAUCAAACUAAGAAUUCUGGAGACUGGAGUGAACGCUUAGUUAAGGCAGAGGAGACAAGAGUAUGCGCUUUCCCGUUUACCUCAGGGUUUUGGCCAAAACAACGAACUAGAGCUUGGAAUUCUGUACGAUCACCUGUUUGUGUUGAUGUGGCAUGUGCAUUUAUAUAGUUUACAUCUUCUUUGGAUACACCAGAUUGAGCUAAGGCUUGUUCUAUGCAAAGAGCAAUUCCCAUUCCUGAUUUUAGAGAUGAAAACAGGAAUAGUUCAGCUCAGAUUUCCACAGGUGUGGAUCUUUUCACAAACAUAAAAUGCUGGAAUGCUUUAACCAAUGGGCUUUAUCUUAACAGCAGUAGGGCUGUGAGGUCUAUUUCCAAUGGAAACUAAAUGCAUAAAAAAAAGGGAGAAAUGCCGGAAUGCUUUUCCAGGCAAAGCCAGAAGAGCAAAAGGGAAAAAGAAUUUGUUUUUUUCCAACUUCUACUUGGGAUUUUUUUUUUGGCUAGUUUGGAAAGCUUGCUUACCAUCAGGAUGAGGUUCAGUCAUGUGAUAAGCAUCACAA